UUAAAGAGUUCUAUAACUCCCAAACCCAUGUGAACAUACCUAACGUUGCCUCGGCAGGUCGCACCUACCUUGUAGCACCCUACCCUGUAGGGCCUACCCGGGAGGUGCGGGUAAGCCUGCCGGCGGCCCACCAAACUCUGUUUGAUAUUGAAUUCUGAACCUAUAACUAAAUAAGUUAAAACUUUCAACAACGGAUCUCUUGGUUCUGGCAUCGAUGAAGAACGCAGCGAAAUGCGAUAAGUAAUGUGAAUUGCAGAAUUCAGUGAAUCAUCGAAUCUUUGAACGCAUAUUGCGCCCAUUAGUAUUCUAGUGGGCAGGACCGUUCGAGCGUCAUUUCAACCCUUAAGCCUUCGUUGCUUAGUGUUGGGAGCCUACGGCAACGUAGCUCCUCAAAGUUAGUGGCGGAGUUGGUUCACACUCUAGACGUAGUAAUUUUUUAUCUCGCCUAUUAGUUGGACUAAUCCCCUGCCGUAAAACCCCCAAUUUAUCAAGGUUGACCUCGAAUCGGUUCAGACAAACUCGCUAAAUUGAAGCAUCUUAGUCAGCGAAGGAAAAGAAACCAACAGGGAUUGCCCUAGUAACGGCGAGUGAAGCGGCAACAGCUCAAAU
RNAcentral lists this ribosomal RNA (609 nucleotides) under fungal endophyte. RNAcentral describes it as "eukaryotic LSU rRNA". The stretch from base 180 to 333 matches the Rfam family "5.8S ribosomal RNA". Lineage: Eukaryota; Fungi. The record is from RNAcentral.